RNAcentral lists this non-coding RNA (45 nucleotides) under Schistosoma curassoni. Lineage: Eukaryota; Metazoa; Platyhelminthes; Trematoda; Strigeidida; Schistosomatidae. The record is from RNAcentral.
AUUCAGCUGACAAGUCUCAAGUAGGACGAAACGCACUUCCCGGAU